This 217-nucleotide long non-coding RNA is filed under the name Elaeis guineensis (African oil palm). Its description in RNAcentral is "long non-coding RNA (EGUI_LNC003435)". Lineage: Eukaryota; Viridiplantae; Streptophyta; Magnoliopsida; Arecales; Arecaceae. The record is from RNAcentral.
GGGUGCAUUAAUUGUACUGCAAAAUAAUAUGACAUUUAUUGCUUUUAUGUUCUUAGACAUCACAAAAUUUUGUUCUACGUAACUAACUGUUUAAUAGUAUGAUGUACGAUGAAUUGCCUUAAAAUUGUAAAAUUAGAAAUUAUUACUUGAGUACAAUUUUCAAAGACAUGAUUUUCCAUCUGUCACAAUAAAAUUUUUCAUUCUUGAAUGAUCAAAC